This 352-nucleotide unclassified non-coding RNA is filed under the name uncultured Spizellomyces. Its description in RNAcentral is "partial contains 5.8S ribosomal RNA, internal transcribed spacer 2, and large subunit ribosomal RNA". Lineage: Eukaryota; Fungi; Chytridiomycota. The record is from RNAcentral.
AACGCACAUUGCGCUUCCUGGUAUUCCGGGGAGCAUGCUCGUUUCAGAAUCAUUAAAAUCUCACAAAUCCGUUUGGCUAAACCCUCUCGGCCGCGUGCAAUUGAGCCAUUUCUGCCUUUCGUUAACAGGAAAGUCAGUGGCACCAAAAUGAUAGUGCGUAUGCCCACGUUAACAUGACCGAGGGAACACAUCUGAGCAACAAGAAAUUCUUCCUCUUUUGUCUUUUCUACCUCGGCUCAAGUUGCGAGUGUGUGCAGCACCUCCUUACAAUACUACAGUCUCAGUGACAAGUACUUGUCGCUGACUCUGAUGUUUUGGUCUGAAAUCGAGCAAGAAAACCCGCUGAACUUAA